This 29907-nucleotide long non-coding RNA is filed under the name Citrus maxima (pomelo). Its description in RNAcentral is "long non-coding RNA (CMAX_LNC000717)". The record is from RNAcentral. Lineage: Eukaryota; Viridiplantae; Streptophyta; Magnoliopsida; Sapindales; Rutaceae.
AAAACCUUCAGAACUGACUGAAGGUUUCUGAGUUGAUCCUAAAAAUGUAGCAGUUGUCUGUUUCAUAAAGCAGAACAAAAACAGAAUAAGAGAUCACUAAUCAUGCUUGAGAAUUCAUUUAAAUAAAAUUUCAAAAAUUGCCAAACACAGCAUAAACUAGGAUGCACUUGCUUAAGAUUCAUUUUCAGAAGGAAGUUUGUACUUGCAGCUCAUAAAAUCAUGUUUAUGUUGUAUGUUUAUUCAGCAAAUGAAAGAUUCCAAGUUUGCUGAAACCAUAUUAUUUUUUUACCAGGCGCCUUCCUGAAGGUAUCGACGUCAAUUUCAAAAAUGUUGGGGAUAAGUUGCUUGAUGCAGUGCUACACAAAUAUGAAGGAUUUCUUGUCGGUGAUUACUACCACCUCGAUAAAAAAAUUCAUGGAACUGGUCAUGCCGGCAAUAAAAGAAGGAAAGGUGGUAUACGUCGAAGACAUAGAUGAAGGCCUCGAGUCCAUCAGCCCUCGUUGGGCUAUUCACUUGUCGGAAUGUCAGGAAACAACUUGUUGAAGUUGCGUGGGAAUUUUAAAACUACCAUAUGUUGUAGAAAUGCACUGAGCCAUGUGCUUUCAGAGCUUUGUGAAGAUGUCUUGGCCAUGUGUUUGAUACAGGUUAUGCUUGUUCCAUUAAAUUGUAUGCACUUAUAAAUCAAAGAUUCAGAACAUGUGUAUGUUACUGGUUUCCAGAAUCCAGAUCAAUAAAUGCCUCCAUGUAGAAGUUCAAAUUUUAAAUUUUUUGAAGUAGAGGUGUAGAGUUUCUUUUUUCAAAAAAGAAAAAGUAAAUUCUGAAGACUUUCUUUAUUUAAUUUUACAAUCUUAUUUUAUUUCUUUUACGAUAUAUUUUUAAAAUACUUAUUUAGUAAAUUAUUAACAUCUAUACCACUAAAAGAUUUUUUUUGUUAAACGCUCUACUUACAAAGUUAUAUUAAUUAUAGAUUUACUCAAAGAAGCCCUAUUUAAAAAGUUACAGCAAAAAAAGUCAUAGUUACCUUUAGUAAAUAAUAAUCUUCUAAUCUGUCUUACAACGGACUUUUGACAAAAGUGUGCUACUCCCACCUCCUCAAAGUCCACCCGACACCCCGUCUUCUCUAUUUAAAAUUUUAUAUAGUUGAAAAUUAUAUUUUCUUUUACUUGACGCCCCUCCAAAUUCUAAAACUUAGCUUCGAUGAACCUUCUUCGUUAAAUCUCGUUGCUUUCCUUUUUUCUUGUUACUUGAGAAGAAGAACCAGAGUCUAGAAGAAUGAAAGAAAAUUCAGCGUGAUAGAAAUUUAGAAAUUUCAUCCGAUCUUUUUUUCUUAAAUUUUUUGGUAUUUUGAUUCGUUCAAUGGAUUCUUGAUCAUUCUUCAUUCUUUCUAGUUUCUACCAUGAUUCGGAAAUUUUUCUUAAAAAAACUACUACUCUUGUGUAUUUAAAAAAAAAGGAAAGAAAGAAAAAAGGCAUUAAUAAAGAAUUGCGCACGUAACAUUAUUAGUACCCUGUUGAUUGGUCGUUUGGUCUUCAAGAAAUGCUAGUUAAUAUGUGCUUGAAAUUAUAUUCUGCUUUUUUUUUCCCUAUGUAUUGUUUCCCGUUUGAUUACAUUUCAAACAUUUUUAACACGAAUGAAUGUUUUAACCAUUUUUGUCACUUCAUUAUUACAAUAAGCUGAUUGAAGUUAUCUGCGUUGGCCCUGAAAAUGUAAUGGACACUACUCCGUUUACAUAAAACAGGACAAAACAUCGAUAUUUCUACCAUUGCCAUACAUAGUAUAGCCUAGGAAUACAUUUCCAUAAUUAAUAUUUAUUUCAGAAGGAACUUUUCACUUGCAGCUAACAGAAUCAUGUUAAAUUUAUGAUGUAUGUUUAUUUGGGAGAUGAAAGAUUCGCUGCAUUAUUUUAUUCCAAGUUUGCUGAAAUCAUAUUUGUUUUCCCGGCUGCUUUCCUGAAUGUAUCGACAUCUAUUUCGAAAAUGUCGGGGGUAAGAUGCUUGGUGCAGUGCUACUCAACAUGAGAAUUCAUCUUCUAACUCGUUACCUGAUAUUAUUGUCUUCUUGAAAAUUUAAUUAAGCUUAGAAGUCCCUUAACCACAAAAUCAAUGGAGUUUAACUCUAUCGAUAGACAACUUUUAAGUAAUAAACCAACACAUGAGUUCAUCUCUAUUGAUACUCAAGUUCUAAGUCCCUUAUUCAAUACUAAAAUCCAUGAGAAUUAAACUAACCGUAGUUUAACAUGUGAUUAACAAAUGGUAAAAGGUUCAAAAAAUACAUCAAUUAUAAAAGAAAUAAAAUCAGCAAAGAGACCACAUCAGAAAUUUCUUAGAUGUCCGAAACUAUUAAAAGAAUUCACAUACCAAAUCAAAAAAAGUAGAAAAUGCUUAAGCUCCUUAAGGUAAUUUGAAGUAUGAAAGUGAAUGGCAUAUAAUCCAAUAUAAAAAAAAAAUGGUUUUAGUGCCGUAUAAAGAGAAGUUAAUGGUGGUUACAGAAGUGGGGAAAGUUGAGUACAAAUCAGAUAAUGGGAGGUUCCUAAACUUCCUUAAAUCAAUUUUAAUUUCAAAAAUAAAAUAAUAAAAAAUAAAAAAUAGCAUAAAAGAAAUAAGAUAAAAAUUACUUUUCUAAAAUUGCAUGCAAGUAUACAAAAAUAACAUAUGUUGAUAUUACAUCGAGAAAGGUCCAUCAGCCCUAGUUGGGCUAUUCACUGCAUAGAAUGUCGGAGAACAACUUGUUGUGGUAGCUGUUGGGAAAAUAUGCUCUUUAAAAGCAUGUGUGUUUAUUUAAAUGUAAUAAACAUUUUUUCUGAUUAAUAAAAAUAAUGAGGUAUUUUGUGCAAAUAUCUUAAUUGCAUUAAUAUUUUUAUUAAAGUCCAUUUAAUCAUAUUAUAUGUAUUUAUGUGAUCACCAUGUGGAUUCACAGAAGACAUAAAAUACAAGUUAUCUUAUGAUUAAAUAAAUUUAGUUCGCAGUUGAUAAAUAAAGUUGUGCACUUUAUUUAGGUAUAGAUUGUAAUAAAUUCAUUGAAUGAUUUGUCUUAAUCAUGUAUGAAUUUAUUGAUGUAGUACGACUACAUUGAACAGGAUCACAUAUGAGAUUUAAUUAACCUUGAAAUGACUGUCAGACUUAUUAAAUCUCAUUGGCAUUGAUUUUACUGUAAUCUUAAUCUUGAGUUAGUUAUGAUUUCAUGAUUGUAAUUGUUAUUCCAUUUGAGUUACCAAUGGGCAUGACACAUACAUGUAGUCUAGAUUACUCGGUAUCUUGGUGGGAGCAUUUAUGAGUAUUGGAGUUAUAGAUUAACAAUAUAGAAUUUGUACAACACAUCUCUUGAUGGGUUUUCGGCACUUGAUCAUAGAAUUCUCUAGCCAGAGUGUGUCAACAUAUUUAGUAUGUUGAAAAUGAUCAUUAGAGAAAACCAGUAAAGAUCAAGGAAUAAGAUGUUAUUAAAUUGAUUGGACAGUUGAGAUAUCAAUUUAAUUAACGAUGUGGUACAAAGGAUUGUGCAGUAAAGAAAUCAAUGUGGCUUGGGACGAAUUAUUAUUCGAGCAUACAAUUAUGGAAGUCAGUUCCAAUCUUUUAGUGGAGUAGAUUUGGAAUUAAAUAAUUGGGCUAGUUUAAUUAUAGGCCUAAUUAUUGUAGCCACUAUUGUAUGUUCCCAAAUGAUCCCCGGGUUAGCUCAUUUAAUUGACUGCACCACUACUGGACUAAUAAGCAAGAUAACUAGCUAUUUGGGUCAAAAGCCUAAAUAUAUCAUUUAGUGGGAGGCUCCAUUUAAUUAGUUUAUGUGUAAGGGGUCUUAUGUUAUUUUACAUGGUGGGUCCCCUAUAAAAUAAAAAGUAACGUGAGUUUUAUUUGUGAGCCUAGGGUUUUCACUAAAGGGAGAUAUAUAAGGCUUAUUUUCUCUAAAGAAAAAGGUGAAGCCACUUUAUACAGAUCAGAGAAUAAGAUUUUUCUCUCUAUUGUUGAGAGAAAAAUUUUCUCGUGCUAGUUGCUUUGGUAGUGAUAAAGGCGCCCACACGUCAAGUGCAGAUCGUACUUGAGUCAUAACCUGGAAGAUCAUUGGUGACAGUUCGUGAUCUAACAAGCGUGGUGGUGACGGAUCGUGAUCUAACAGGAGUGGUGGUGGCGGAUCAUGAUCUAGGAGCUUAAAUCACUUCAGCGGAAAAAGCUAACUCGGAUUUUCAAGGUACGAUUUCUAGAAUACAAAUUCUUAUAUAUUAUAUGAGAGCGAUCUUCAAAAGGUUUUAUAAAAAAUUUAAAAACCUAAUUUUUCCCCAACAAUUGGUAUCAGAGCCAUCUCAUAUUAAUAUAUAAGAAUUUCGUAUGAAAUUAAUCUUGAUAUUUAUGUAUUAGAGUGGCACAAUUUAUUCAGAUAUAUAUUAUUUGUUUAAUAUAUGAAUAAAGCAUGUUUAUGGUUUGUCUUAAUUCAUGGUUAGAUUUUCUGUUGUAUUUUUCGUUUGGAUCUUUAACAAGAGGGGUGGUUUUUAUCACAAUGUUUCCCUCUUGAUUUAUUUUACUGUUAUAGAAUUUUUGUAAGCCAAAAAUUGGCCUAGGAAAUUUGUAAAUAAAUCACGGAUGACAAAUCAAAGCGACGGAGGCCGGAAAUUUCGACAUCGACCGCUGACCAGCGCACUCGCUACAACCAACGAGCGGCACACGCUGCAAGCGCAUGCUGGCAGUGCGCGCAGCAAGCAGCGCGCGCGGCCAGCCUGGCCAGCGGCGCGCGUUCCAGCAAGCAGCGCGCGCAGGGAUGGUUUGUUUCCGGCAUAUCGGCAACGGCAAACUCGACGUUGAUAGCGGCUGUCCGAUGAGAUUGGCCUGAACAGUGGCCGUUUGUGGAGAUGGCGACUGGGGAAGAAGAAAGAAAGAAAAAUAUGGAUUUAGGGUUUCAUGGCUUUUAUCAUGGAGAUCCCUAUGGUUCCAUAAUUUUUCACUUGGGCAAUUAAGUUUUAAUUUUUUGCAUUUAAGUCUAAAAAUAGUUUUCGGCUUAAAGAAUCCUAGUUUUAGGUCCAAUUGAAAUUUGGGCUUAAUGGAUUAAAAAUGCAUAGAUAAAAUUAAAUACAUUAAAAUUUAUUUUUGGUCCAAAAGUUUUAUUUUAAUAAAAAAAAUUAUUUAUUUAUUUAUUUCCUUUAAAAAUUAAAAUUGGACCAAUUAGAAAUUAUUUAUUUAUCUCUCAUUUGUACUUGGGAGACAGUCUAUUGUAAGUAGUGUGUAUUUUUGCAUGUCUAGGAAAGUUCUGUCAACAAAGGCGAUAAGUGUAUAAGGAUUCUGGUUUUUAAUUGGGACCAAGUUCCCAUCUAGUUUCCUGGAAACUUUCUUGGUGCAUUUAUUCACGCGAAAUUAACAUCAUAGAGACUGUUUUUCAAGUGAAAAUAGUUCGUUGAGAAAAUGGUAGAAGGUGAAACUUUCAAAAUUGGGGAGAGAUCUACCGAGACUAUUUCAGGAGACACUUCAGGUGGGAGGCGAGAUUUGUCAAAUCGCUAUUCAGCACCUGUAUAGAAGGCCAGAAGAUCGAUGUUGAAAAGUUUGAUGGGAAAAUCAACUUCGGCAUGUGGAGGCGCGAAGUUAUGGAUGCCCUUAUUCAAAUCGAUCUCGAUGUUGUUCUGAAAAAUAAAAGACACUUGUAUGAUGAAGAAAUUUGGGAUCGUAUGAAUGAAAAAGCAUGUGGUCAGAUCAGAUCUUGUUUGACCAAGGAGGUGAAAUACUUGGUGAAAGAUGAGGAGUGUGCGGUGACUUUGUGGCGUACAUUGGAGGAGAAGUACCUGGUGAAAAGUCCUGAAAAUCGCCUUCAUGCAAUGAGCCAAGUAUAUGGCUUUCGAAUAAAGUCUGGGGUGUCAAUGCACGAUCAUGUUUUAAGAUUUGAAAAGUUACUUGCUGAUUUGAAGAAUCUUGAUGAAGAUAUUAAGGAUGAAGUCAAGGCUAUGAUUCUGUUACACUCACUACCAGAGGAAUAUAGCCAUUUUGUGACUACUUUAAUAUAUGGGAAGAGUGUGAUCAUCUUUAAAGAUGUUUGCACAACAUUGACUAGCUUAGAGAUUCGAAAUAAUGAUAAAAAUUCUAAACGAGCAUCGUCUGAAGCUUUGGUGAGUAGAGAUUGGGCGAUGGAGAAACAAAAGAAGCGUGGUGGAAAGAAUUCUCGAUCCAAAUUGAAAAGCAGAAAUAUAGCUCGAGAUGAGUGUGCCUUUUGUCAUGAAAAGGGCCAUUGGAGGAAAGAUUGUCCAAAGGCUCAAAAGAGAGAUGGGAAGAAACCAGCAGCAGCAAACAUGGCACGGAAAGAUGAGGGCUCUGAUUAUUCACUAAGUAUUACUCUUGCAGCAUACGUGGCUAGUUCGAGUGAGUGGAUACUUGAUACUGGAGUGGUUUACGGAUUUUUAUCAUUUGUGUCCUAUUAAGGAAUGAUUUACGGAUUUUCGUAAUCUGGAAUCCGGUGCAGUUGUGAUGGGGAAUGAUCAACCUUGUCGCACAAUGGGGAUAGGAACAAUUCGGCUCAAAAUGUUUGAUGAAAUGAUCAGAGAACUCAAAGAGGUUAGAUUUGUUCUAGCUUUAAAGAAAAAUCUAAUUUCUGUGGAUUUCUGUGGGUGCUUUGGAAGCUAAAGGCUACAAGGUUACCAUUGAAGAUGGUAUAAUGAAGUUUACACAUGGGGCUAUGGUGAUUCUGCAAGGGGUUCGGUGUCACAAUCUGUACUAUUUGAAGGGAGGUACAACUGAUGAAGCAAAUGUUGUUAAGGCGCACAGUGACACCACCAAGCUAUGGCAUGUACGAUUGGGACAUGCUGGAGAGAAGUCUUUGCAAACUCUGAUGAGGCAUGGACUCUUAAAAGGUACCAAAACCUGUAAAUUAAAUUUCUGUGAGCAUUGUGUAGUAGGCAAGAAAACAAGGGUCAAGUUUGGUAUAGUUAAUCACGAUACUCGUGAGAUUCUUGAAUAUGUUCAUAGUGAUGUAUGGGGACCAACCAAGACUGCAUCAAUUGGUGGAAGCCAUUACUUUGUUACAUCUAUUGAUGAUUUCUCUAGACGUGUGUGGGUGUACACCAUGCGAGCAAAGGAUGAGGUUCUAGAGAUUUUCGUGAAAUGGAAGAAAUUGGUGGAGACUCAAACUGGCAGAAAGAUCAAAGUAUUACGAUCUGAUAAUGGGGGUGAAUAUACUUCUGAUCCAUUCUUACAAGUAUGCCAGAACGAGGGUAUUAAAAGACAUUUCACGGUGAGACAUACUCCGCAACAGAACGGUGUGGUUGAGCGUAUGAAUCGUACUUUACUGGAGAAGAUACGGUGUAUGUUAUCUAAUGCUGGUUUAGAUAAAAAGUUUUGGGCUGAAGCUGUGAGCUACGCAAGUCACUUGGUAAACCGGUUGCCUUCUGCUGCAAUUGGAGGUAAAACUCCUAUGGAAAUGUGGUCUGGAAAGCAUGCACAAGACUAUGAUUCCCUUCGUGUAUUCGGGUGUUCAGCUAAUCAUCAUGUCAAAGAUGGUAAACUGGAUCCUCGUGCUAGAAAAGCUAUCUUUGUGGGAUUCAAAGGUGGAGUAAAGGGCUUUAAGCUUUGGGAUCUCGAAGACAAAAAGUUUGUGUGUAGCAGAGAUGUCACAUUUGAUGAAGCUUCAAUGAUGAAAGCGUCAAGUUCUCAGCAGGUGGAGAACAAGACCAAAAAGGUAUUGCAGCGGGUGGAGUUUGAUGCAACUCCAUAUGUACCAGUUAGUUCUACAUCAAAUAAGAGUUCAACUAUGGAGGUGACACCUAGAGUUGAAGAAGAGGUCAUUUUUUCUGAUGUCUCACAAAAUGAAGAAACAAUUGAUGAUGUAGAUAAUGAUGAUUUUAUAGCAACAAGGAGGCCAAGAAGAGAGAUAAAGAAACAGGGAUGGCUUACUAAAGAUAUGGUGGUAGCAUAUGCACUUCCAGUUAUUGAUGAUGACAUCCCCAACACUUUUUGUGAAGCAUUACGCAGCAGUGAAAGUGAUCAGUAGAAGUUAGCCAUGGAGGAAGAGAUGAAAUCUCUCCAUCAAAACCAGACUUGGGAACUUGUAAAGUUACUAAAUGGGAAAAGGGCUAUUGGUAAUAAAUGGGUCUACACCACAAAGCAAGGAUCUCCGAAUCAAACAACUCCUCGAUACAAGGCAAGGCUCGUGGCAAAAGGUUUUGCUCAAAAGGAAGGUAUUGACUACAAUGAAGUUUUCUCCCCAGUUGUAAAACAUACUUUCAUUCGUAUCCUACUUGCCGUCGUUGCAGAAUAUGAGUUAGAGUUGGCUCAAUUGGAUGUUACGACGGCGUUCUUACAUGGAGAUUUGGAAGAGGAAAUCUAUAUGAUUCAGCCUUGUGGUUUCAAAGUUGCUGCAAAGGAGAAUCAUGUGUGUAGGUUGAUUAAAUCUUUGUACGGACUGAAGCAAUUGCCAAGGCAGUGGUACAAAAGAUUUGAUCAAUUUAUACAAGGGCAGAAAUUCACCAGAAGUGAACACGAUCAUUGUGAUUACUUUAGAAGACUACCAGAUGGAGCUUUCAUCUAUUUGUUACUCUAUGUCGAUGAUAUGCUUAUAGCUUCGAAGAAUAGAGAUGAGAUCGAAAGAUUAAAGAAGCAGCUGGCUUCUGAGUUCGAGAUGAAAGACUUGGGUGAUGCACAGAGAAUACUUGGGAUGGAGAUUCGUAGAGACAAGAAGAAUGGGAGCGUAUGAUUGACUCAAAAGUCUUAUUUGAAGAAAGUGCUAGAAAGAUUCAGUAUGGAUGACAAAACUAAACCGGUAUGUACACCUCUAGCUCCUCAUUUCAAAUUAAGCUCUUCUUCAUGUCCUAGAUCUCAAGAAGAGCGCGAUUACAUGGCUCGUGUUCCAUAUGCUAGUGCUGUGGGUAGUCUUAUGUAUGCUAUUGUAUUCACAAGGCCCGAUAUAUCUCAAGCAGUGAGCAUGGUUAGUAGAUACAUGCACAAUCCGGGUAAAAAUCAAUGGCUUGCGGUAAAGUGGAUUCUCCGAUAUUUGUAUGGGACAGUUGAUGUUGGGUUAUUAUUCAAGAAAGAUUGUGGUCAACAAUGUGUUGGGUAUUGUGAUUCUGAUUUCGCUGGAGACCUUAACAAGAGAAGAUCAACAACGGGCUACGUAUUCACAUUGGGUGGAGGUCCGGUUAGCUGGAGAUCGAUUCUACAAUCGACAAUUGCUCUAUCCACUAUGGAAGCAGAGUAUAUGGCAGCAAUUGAAGCUGUAAAAGAAGCUAUCUGGUUGAAAGGCUUGUUAGGUGAUUUGGGAGUAAUCCAGGAGAACAUUACGAUCUUCUGUGAUAAUCAAAGUGCGAUAUUCCUUGCAAAGAAUCAAACAUAUCACGCUCAGAUGAAGCACAUAGAUGUGAAAUAUCAUUAUGUGAGGGAGAUUAUCGAGAGCGGUGUUGUGUUGUUGAGAAAGAUCGAUACCAAAGAUAAUCCAUCAUAUAUGUUAAUGAAGGUAGUUUCUGGAGUUAAGUUUCAACAUUGCUUGAAACUAAUUCAAAUCCUUCGAUUGUGUUAAGAUAUGUCCUUCGGAAAUUUUGAACUACGGUUGGCUUGAUCCCAAAUUUUGGGUACGUUUGGCAGUCACAGAGAUACAGCCACUUUGCGGAUGAUGAUUGGUUGGGAGUCGGCUCAGAUUUGAACAAACCUUCGCCGAGGUGGAGAAUUGUUGAAAAGUCAAAGAAUUGCUUGCCAAUUUCAAAAGCAAAGUUGGUGGGUUUGCCAAAUUCAAAAAAACAAAGUUGGCCGGCUUGCUAAUUUCAAAAGGCAAAGUUAGGUGUUGAAAAACUUGUACAUGCAAUAUAAGAUCCAGCUCAACGUUUUGACCAAAUGAACCCAACUUGGAGCAGAAUGCACUCUAUAAAUAGAGAAGCAUUUUGCAAUUGUCAAUCAUCCCAACAAUUUGUUAAGCUUAUAAAUUUCUAAGCUUUUGAGAGUUCUAAGAGUGUGAAUAAUUGGAGAGUGUGUGUGAGAGUACUUGGUAUAUUUGGGUUCUGGGAAAGUGAGAUUUCUUUACUCAAAUAAUUAUUAAUAAUAUAAUUAUUUUUCUCUUGCUUCCGUGGACAUAGGCAUAUUGUCGAACCACGUAAAUUUUGUGUCCUUUAUUUUUCAGUAAUUAUUUGGUGUGUUUGAUUCCGCAUUCCGCGCACAACACCUACAGGUGACUAAUUAAUGGGAAAUUGACAAUGACAAAAGCAAUUUAUGAGUUUUGUAGGCUGGCAUGCCUAUGUUAUAGCAUUGUUCGAUGAACUGCCACACCACAUGUUUUUGACGAGAAAUAAAAACAUCAAGAUAUUGCCCGCUUGCCGUAUUCCACAUCGUGAAUUGUAUCUCUGUUCCUCAAUUUUCAGUGUUCCAUACAUAAAACCAUUUUCAGUUUCUCUUGUUAUCAAUUCAAUUUUCUUGUUCGUGACGAUCUUGAUUCCUUUCUUUCUGGUAAAACGGAGCCAUGUUUGCUGUUGGAGAGGUCUUCCUCAACGCUUUCUUUCAGGUGUUGUUUGACAGGUUGGCUUCUCGUAAUUUGCUCAGCUUUGUGCGUCAACUCCAAGGCGGGGUUGAUUCGGAGCUCAAAAAGUGGGAGAAAAAGCUGAAGAUGAUUCAGGUUGUGCUUAGCGAUGCAGAGGAGAAGCAACUGACUGACGAGGCUGUGAAGAUGUGGCUGGACGAACUCCAAGACUUGGCUUAUGACGCUGAGGACAUUCUUGAUGAGUUUGGUACUCAAGCUUUGGAAAGGAAGUUGAUGGCGAAAAAUCAGGAUAGCACUGGCCAGAUUCUUAGUUUCAUACCGGCUAGUUUGAAUCCGAAUGCUAUUAUGUCCAAUUAUAGCAUGGGAUCCAAGAUUAAAGAUAUUACUAGCCGGUUGGAGCAACUCUGCCAAUAUAGAAUUGAACUUGGGCUGCAACGGAUUGCUGGAGGGGCAUCAUCACCUACUGCUGCUGCACACCAGAGGCCACCCAGUUCAAGUAUCACAACAGAGCGUGAAGUAUUCGGAAGAGAAGAAGAUAAGGCCAAAAUUCUUGAUAUGGUAUUGACCGAUAUUAGAAUUCGUAAUAAGAUGUUUGGAAACAAAGAAAAACAGAGAAAAUGAAAAAGGAAACUUCACGAUUUAUUAACCAGAAUAUUCAAUGCUUAUUAAGCUUACUUAGCUAAGCUUAUAUACAAUUAUUCUAACUAAUUAAACAACUGCAAAACAACUAAUAACAACUUCAGAUUUAGUUUAGCCAUUGAGCUCUUGCCACAUGUCAUUCAGUUACAUUCAAUCUUGUCCAGCUCAGCAGCUCUGUCCAGCUCAGCAGCAACUAUAUCUUCAACAUCCCCCCUCAAGCUCAACCGAGGAAGUAAGGUUGAGCUUGUCACGUAAGUAGAGAAAAGGGUGAUAAGAAAGAGCUUUGGUGAGAAUAUCAGCAGUUUGUUCUGAGCUAGAAAUAUAUUGAACCUUAAGACAUUGAGCAGCAACUUUCUCUCGAACAAAAUGAACAUCUAAUUCAAUGUGUUUUGUUCUGGAAUGAAACUUAGGAUUAGAGGCUAAAGCAGCUGCACUUUGAUUAUCACACCAUAUGAUUGGAAUGGAGGGAAGAGUAAGACCAAUCUCAGCAAGAAGAGAACGAAUCCACAAGACUUCAGCUGCUGCCAUUGCUAGUGCUCGAUAUUCAGACUCAGCACUAGAUCGAGAGACCACUGCCUGUUUCUUAGAGCACCAAGACACUAGAUUUGGACCCAUAUAGACACAAUAACCAGCCACUGACCUCCUAUCAUCUCUGUCUCCAGCCCAAUCAGCAUCACUGAAACAAUCAAUCUGUAUGCUGCCAUGAUUGUAGAACUGUAAACCAAGAUUAACAGUACCCUUCAGAUAUCGUAAAACCCUUUUACAAGCCUGCCAAUGAUUGACAGUUGGAGAAGAUAGAAACUGACUGAGCUUGUUGACAGAGAAAGCAAUCUCUGGUCUGGUCAAUGUUGCAUACUGAAGAGCACCUAUGGUGCUUCUGUAUAGAGUAACAUCAGAAAAGGGUUCACUAUCAGCUUUAGUAAAAGCCACUCCAGAAAGCAUAGGAGUAGAACAAGGAGUACUAUCCUGCAUGUGCACCUUGGCAAGCAAAUCAGUGAUAUACUUGGAUUGAGAAAGAUGAAUACCAGAUUUAUUGUAAAUGACCUGAACUCCCAGAAAAUAAUUCAAUGCACCAAGAUCUUUAAGUGCAAAAACAGACUGGAAGUUGGUGAUGGUCUGCUGAACAAGCUGAGGAUUGGAGCCUGUAAUAAUAAUAUCAUCUACAUACACCAAGACAAGUAGCAGAUGACCUUGUGUGCUCUUAAAGAAGAGUGAAGUGUCUGAAAUAGAAUUUGUAAAGCCCCACUGAGUUGUAAGAACUAGUUUGAGUCUGUCAAACCAUGCCCUUGGAGCCUGUUUAAGGCCAUAAAGAGCUUUGUGCAGCUUACAGACAUAAUCAGGCCUGGAACUAUCUAUAAACCCCUCAGGCUGUUGCAUAUAAACUUCUUCAGUGAGGUAGCCAUUAAGGAAGGCAUUAUUAAUGUCUAUUUGCCUCAGUACCCAAUGAUUCAUGACAGCCAUACUCAAGAUAAUUCUGAUGGUUGAAGACUUAAUGACAGGACUGAAUGUUUCAUGAAAAUCCAGCCCUUGAGUUUGGUGAAAUCCCUUAGCAACAAGUCUAGCUUUGUAUCUAGAGACACUGCCAUCAGGAUUAUAUUUAAUCCGAAAUACCCACUUAUUCCCAAUUACUUUAAUGGGAUGUGUAGGUUUGACAAGAGUCCAGGUAUGAUUAUUGACUAAGGCUUGAUAUUCAUCUGUCAUUGCUUUAUGCCAAGCUGAAUCUUGAAGGGCUUUUAAGGUAGUAGCAGGUUCUGUAGGUUUGGUAGGAUUGGCUGUAAUAUAGGCUUUAGGUUUGAAGAUACCAGCCUUUGAUCGAGUGAGCAUUGGAUGACCAGUAGAUGACUGCAAUGGUGGAGUUAAAUGAUGAACAGGUGAGGUAGAUGGUUCUGAGUGUGAUUGUAUAGAAGAUUGAGAAGGAGAGUCUGGAGAGGAUUGAGAGAACCUGAGAUCAGCUGCUGUAGAGGAUGAAGACUUGGUUAUAUCAAGUUGAAUCAAAGGACAAACAGAAGAUGAACAAUGUGAAGAAGACUGAGAUGAAUGAUCUGAAGAAGAGCAAGAGUGACUGACAGAGGAAAAAUCAACUCCUGACUGAAAAGGAAAACAUGACUCAUCAAAUGUAACAUGGUUACUGACAUAGAUUCUACCAGAGGAAUGAAGACACAAGUAGCCUUUGUGAAGGGAGCUGUAACCAAGAAAAAUACAUCUAGCAGUUCGAAACUCUAACUUAUGAUGAUUAUAAGGCCUCAGAUAUGGGAAACAAGCACAUCCAAAAACUCUCAUAACAGAAUAAUCUGGUCUUUUGUUGAAUAAUUUUUCAAAAGGUGAUUUGUUAUCCAGAAUGGGUGUAGGGAGCCUAUUUAUGAGAAAUGUGGCAGUAUGGAAAGCAUUCCACCAAAAUUUCAGUGGUAAAUGUGCUUGAGCAAGAAGGGUAAGGCCUGUUUCCACUAUAUGUCUAUGUUUGCGUUCAAUCUUUCCAUUUUGAUGGUGAAUAUAAGGACAAGGAUGUCUAAAUUGGAUUCCCUGCUCAGCAAGAUAAGGAAGAAAUGGCCUAAAUUCACCUCCCCAAUCUGUUUGAAGACACUUGAUUUUCCUAUUUAGGCAUUUUUCUAUCAUAUGCUGGAAUUCAAUAAAGGUUUGUAAGGCUUGAGAUUUGGUAACAAGAGGGAAUAUCCAGGUGAACCUAGUGAAAUCAUCUAAGAUGGAAAGAUAGUAGUGAUAGCCUUGAGAGGACAGCAAAGGAGCUGGACCCCAUAGAUCAGCAUGCAACAGCUCCAGUGGUUGAAUGGUAGUGGUGUCUAUAGAAGGAAAAUGCUGCAUGUGACACUUUCCAAAUUGGCAAGCAUUACAAAAAAUUGGUUUCAGGGCUCUAUUGAUAUCGAGAGAAGGAUGCAAAUGCUUCACAAUUUGUUUAAGAGCAUGCACAGUUGGAUGACCCAUUCUUUUAUGUAAAACAUUGUAAUCAACUGAUUUUGAAUGAGUAACAGACAAGGCCAUUGAGGCAUCAUUAUUGAAUUGAGAAAUAUUUACAUCUGUCAAAAUUUCUCCAGAAUGUAUAGAGUUUGAAACAUUGGAAUGACUAAUCAUUGACACUGGAGAGGAACAGACAUUUGACACAGAACUGGAAUUUGAGAUGACACAGAAAACAUUAGACGGAACUCUAUUUGAAACUGCAGCAUGAGACACUACAACAGGACCUUCAACUUGAUAUAAUCCUCCUCUAGCAAUCCCCUUGAGCAAGAUGAUCCCUGAUUUCUUGUCCUUGACAAAACAGGAGGUUUUAUGGAAUUCAACAACAACAUCAUUGUCAGCAAGUAAUUUAGAUACACUUAAAAGGUUUUUGGUUAUAGUUGGGACAUGCAAAAUAUUAUUAAGAUAGAUAGAUGUUGCAGCAAGUGUAUUCAAUCGUGUGCACCCAACAUGUUUAAUAUGUAAUCCCAUGCCAUUUCCUACAUGUAGCUUAUCAAAACCAUGAUAAACUGAGUAAGAAGAAAAGAUACCUGCUUCCUUAGUCACAUGAUUGGUUGCCCCGGAGUCAAUAUACCAAGCAGGAUCAGCUACAACUCCAUAAUCAGCAACUGGACCAGUGGGAGCAAAUUGUGCAGUGGGAAUAGCAGAAGGAGCAACUCCAUAGUUAGCAAAUGGAGUAGCAAUUGCACCAUUGUAUUGACCUUGUAAUCCUUGAAACACAAGAAACCCUUGAGGAUACAUAACAUUUGCAUUCUGAUAUGCAACAUUCCCUUGAAACAUGGGUGCAUUAUAUCUAGGAGCACCAGUUGCAGUUCCAUAAAAAUUUCCAUAACCUCUUCCAAACAUGUUCUGAGGCUGACCAGGAAAGCCUCUAAAAUUGAAUCCACCUCUAGGCCUAAAGCCACCUCUUCCUUGUCUAGGAAUAAAGUUCUGAUUAAAUCUGUUCCUGCAUUUGUAUGCUCCAUGACCAGGUAUGAAGCAUAUUUGACAAAUUACUUCCUUAUCAACAUUAUAUCCUCCUUUGCCAUUAUCAAAAUUUCCACCAUUAAAACCUCUCUGAUUAGCAUUAUUGAACUUAUUGUAAUUCUGUCCUUUCUGAGCAAAAUUAGCUGACAUAUCAUGCAACAAUUCAUUUUGCACCUUUCCCUUACUCAUCUCAACCCUAGUUUCAUGACUAAGCAUUAAGGAAUACACUUCUUCAAUAGUGAGAUUAUCUUUUUCCAGCCUAGCAAGUAUAGUUGUCACUAAUGACUCAUAGUUGUCAUCUAAACCAGUGAGCAAAUGCAUUAUAAAAUCUGUUGAAGCAAGAGGAUUACCACCAAUAGCUAAGCUAUCUGCAAUUUUUUUCAUCUUAUUGAAGUAAUCACUUACUGACAUAGCUCCUUUCUUUGUGGUUUGAAUCUGCAUUUUCAGAGGCAUGUAUCUAGCCUUUGACUGUGACAUGAACAUCUCGGCAAGUUUCUCCCAGAUCUCAAGUGAAGUAUCACAAUCCACAACCAUGAUAAGUACAUUGUCUACCAUAGAUGACAGCAUCCAGCUCUGUAGAAGCUUGUCAGCUUUCUUCCAGUCAAUAUAGUCAGAAUUUUCACGUCUGCUUGAGCUAGGAGCUUCUGAUCUACUGGCAGCAUUCUCAUAUGAGGAAAGAAAACGAUCUGGACAAGGAGAUUCUCCAUUGAUAAAACCUUCAAGUCCAUUGGCAAUAAUCGAAGCUUGAAUUUGAGCUCUCCACACCAGAUAAUUUGUUCGAUCAAGUUUUGUUGGUUGAAUAAAAGAAAAAGAAAGUGAAGACGAUCCUGAAUUGCUUUGAUUCGUCAUGUUUCGUGGCUCUGAUACCAUAUUAGAAUUCGUAAUAAGAUGUUUGGAAACAAAGAAAAACAGAGAAAAUGAAAAAGGAAACUUCACGAUUUAUUAACCAGAAUAUUCAAUGCUUAUUAAGCUUACUUAGCUAAGCUUAUAUACAAUUAUUCUAACUAAUUAAACAACUGCAAAACAACUAAUAACAACUUCAGAUUUAGUUUAGCCAUUGAGCUCUUGCCACAUGUCAUUCAGUUACAUUCAAUCUUGUCCAGCUCAGCAGCUCUGUCCAGCUCAGCAGCAACUAUAUCUUCAACAACCGAUACCCCCAGUGAUCAUGCCAACUUUGUUGUAAUACCCAUUGUUGGCAUGGGCGGGAUAGGAAAAACAACUCUUGCUCGGGAGGUCUACAAUGACAAGGCCGUUGAAGAUUCAAAGUUUGAUGUAAAAGCAUGGGUUUGUGUCUCUGAUGUCUUUGAUAUUUUGGGCAUCUCAAAGGCACUUCUCGAAUCAAUCACCCGCAGGCCUUGUCUUCUGAACAGUUUAAAUGAAGUGCAGGUUGAGUUGAAAGUAGCUGUGGAUAAAAAAAGAUUCUUGCUGGUCUUAGAUGAUGUUUGGAACGAGGACUACAGCUUGUGGGUAGACUUAAAAGCUCCAUUCUUGGCAGCUGCACCAAACAGUAAGAUGAUCGUCACCACAUGCAAUUCAAAUGUUGCAUCAAUAAUGGGACCAAUUGAACAUUAUAAUCUCAAGAGACUGUUAGAUGAUGAUUGCUGGUCCAUUUUCAUACAGCAUGCACUUGAAUCUAGAGAUCUUAACGCACAUCAAAUUUCAGAAUCGUUCCACAAGAAAGUUGUUGGCAAGUGUGGAGGCUUGCCCCUGGCAGCAAAAACAUUAGCGGGCCUUCUACGUACUACGAGGCAUGAUGCCUGGGACGAUAUCUUGGAUAGCAAACUAUGGGAUUUACCACGACAAAAUGACGUUCUCCCUGUGUUAAGAUUGAGUUACCAUCAUCUUCCGUCUCAUUUGAAAAGAUGUUUUGCUCAUUGUGCCAUCUUUCCGAAAGAUUAUGAAUUCAAUGAGAAGGAGCUGACUUUCUUAUGGAUGGCUGGAGGUAUUAUUCGACAGUCAAGAAAGAAUGAGCAGCUGGAAGAAUUGAGCAGCAAGUGCUUUCAAGAUCUAGUGUCGAGGUCUAUUUUUCAACAAACCAGCUCUGGUAGUGCUAAAUUUGUAAUGCACGACCUUAUCCAUGAUCUUGCUGAAUUGGUUUCUAGAGAAACCAUUUUCAGGUUAGAGGAGUCCACCAACUUGUCAUCAAGAAGAUUUGAAAGGGUUCGCCAUUCUUCGUAUGCCCGUGGUAGGCUUGAUGGUAAAUCUAAGUUCGAGGUUUUCAAUGAAAUUGAACAUCUACGAACAUUCUUGCCAUUAUGCAUAAGAGGUGGCGUUACUUCUGGUUAUAUAACUAGCAUGGUUCUCUAAGAUUUGUUGCCGAAGUUCAAAAGGUUGAGGAUGCUGUCUUUAGACGGAUACCGUAUUAGUGAGUUACCAAUUCCAUUUGAAGAUCUGAGACUUUUAAGGUUCCUAAACCUUGCUGAUACUGACUUAAGAAGUUUACUUGAGUCAACAUGCGCAUUGCUGAACUUGGAAAUUUUGACAUUAAGAAAUUGUUCCCGUUUGAUAAAGCUACCGCCCAAAAUGAUGAACUUGAUCAAUAUUCGUCAUCUCGAUAUAAGAGGUGCAAAUUUGUUGAAGGAGAUGCCAUUCGGAAUGAAAGAGUUGAAGAAUCUUCAAACAUUGUCCAACUUUAUUGUGGGCAAGGGUGAAACUGCAUCUGGUUUGGAAGAUUUAGGAAGUUUAAACUUUCUUUGUGAUGAACUUUGCAUUGCUGGAUUAGAGAAUGUGAAUAAUCCACAGAAUGCAAGAGAAGCCGCAUUAUGUGAGAAGCUCAAUCUUCAUGCAUUGACUCUAGAUUGGGGGUCUCAAUUUGACAAUUCUCGAGAUGUAGCAGUAGAAGAGCACGUGCUUGACAUUCUACAGCCUCAUAAAUGUAUAAAAAAGGUGGCAAUCAGGAACUAUGGUGGUGCAAGAUUUCCACUUUGGAUAGGAGAUCCGUGGUUCUCCAAGAUAUAAUUCCUUGAAUUGGAGAACUGUAACAAUUGUGUAUCUUUGCCAUCGCUUGGUCUAUUGAGUUCACUUAAGCACCUUGCUGUCAAAGGGCUGAAGAAGCUAAAAAGCAUAGAGUCUGAAGUUUAUGGGGAGGGUUUCUCAAUGCCUUUUCCAUCAUUGAAGAUUCUACGUUUUGAGAAUUUGCCAGAGUGGUGGCAUUGGGACACCGAUAUCAAAGGAAAUGUGCACGUUGAUAUAUUUCCUUGUCUCCAAGAACUUUCCGUUGUGAAAUGUCCCAAACUCUCUGAAAAACUGCCUGAGCUUCUGCCCUCCUUGGAGAUACUUGUUGUUAGUAAAUGUGAAAAGUUGGUAGUUUCAUUGUCAAGCUAUCCAAGGCUCUGCAGAUUAGAGGUUGAUGAGUGCAAAGAACUAGUGUGCAGGAUCCCAAUUGAUUCUAAGUUGAUAAAGUUCAUGACUAUUUCAAAUAGUUCAUUAGACAUGAUUGGAUGCAAGGGGAUGCUAUACGAUAGUCAAGCUGGCUCUUCACUGCCAAAACCCAUGACCACUACAAAUGUUUUGGAGUUUGGAAAAUUACUGGAGCCUGGAUUUCAGAUAUUAGAAACUUUGGUAAUUGGCAAUUCUGAACAGCUCAAGCCAUGGAGGCAGGGAAGGGGACUUUCAAGUUUUAAUAGACCAGAACACCGGCUAAAAAUACUUGCUCACCCUGAUGAGGUAACAAUUGAGGAAAGUUGCGUAAGUCUUGUUUUGUUUCCAGAGAUCAAUUUCUUUCCCAGAAAUCUGCACUGUCUUCGAAUUUACAACAGCACUGCUUUCAAAUCCUUACCGGAGGAAAUGAUGGACAACAGUUCACAACUCGAAAGCUUGUAUAUCAAAGAUUGCCAUUCUCUACCAUUCAUCACAAGACGCAAGCUACCUUCAUCUCUAAAAAGGAUAGAGAUUGAGAAUUGUGAGAAAUUGCAACGUUUGUUCGAUGAUAAAGACGAUGCUUCUUCUUCUUCUCCUUCAUCCUCGUCUUCCCAAGUGAUGCUUCAACAUCUAAGUAUAAAGAAUUGCCAAGCGCUCUCCAGUUUGUCAUCGGGAAUUCAAUUACUUGAGUCGCUCGAAGAACUUGUGAUAACAAAUUGUCGAAAGCUGGAGUCAAUACCCGAUGGCCUGCACAAUCUUAACUGUUUACAGAAGAUUACUCUAGUGAGUUGUCCAAGUCUUGUUUCCUUCCCAGAAAGAGGGCUUCCCAACGCCAUUUCAUGGGUUGACAUUAGUUAUUGUGACAAGCUUGAAGCCCUGCCCAAUGACAUGCACAAACUCAACUCUCUCCAAACUUUAAGCAUAAUUCAAUGUCCAAAGCUUGAGUCGUUUCCAGAAGAAGGCUUUCCCACCAAUCUUAGAACGCUUAAAAUUGGAAAUUUCAAAAUGUACAAGACCCUCGUCCAGUGGGGGUUGCACAGGCUUUCCUCUCUCAGAAGCCUCUACAUUUAUGGAUGUCAUGAAGCAGAGUGUUUUCCAGACGAGAAGGUAGGAAUGACGCUGCCCACAUCUCUAACUCAUCUGUCCUUAUUGGGAUUCCAGAAAAUGAUACUUCUGUCUUCAGUGGGUUUCCAAAGACUCACGUCUCUUCAAUGUUUGAAGAUAUGGAAUUGCCCAAAUCUCACGUCAUUUCCAGAGGUAGGCCUUCCAUCCUCACUUUUGGAUUUAUACAUUAACAAUUGUCCUAGGCUUAAAAAGGCGUGCAAAAGGGACCAAGGAAAAGAGUGGCCCAAAAUUGCUCACAUCCCUUGCGUUGUGAUAGAUGGAAAAUUCAUAUACGAUCCAGAAUUGGAGGUGUAGAUUCUAUUAUUAAAGUCGGUUUAUUUAUAUUAUCCACUAUAACAAUCUCCUAUUAGUUUUUUUUUUUUUUUUUUAAUGAAAAAAAUUGCAGUUCUGUAUAAUUUAAAAUAUAUAUAUUAAUCCUCUGCCCUUAAUUGAAAAUACCACUCACUUGUUUCUGUUUUCACAAGUCAGAUUGUACGUUGAGGCUAUUUGCUUUUUAUCGGUGUUUGUUAAGGUAAUUAGUGUCUCAUAGGCUGAUUAUAGGCAGAUGAAAUUAUAACUUUUAACUUAAAAUUUAAUACCAUAGACAGAUAGAUGAUUUUUAAUCCAAAGGUUUUUAGAUGUGAUCAAAUUGUCACAUGCAUAACAUAUUAGGCAUGCAUGAUGUAUCACAAGGUUGAUACAUCUUAUAUGCCACGUGAUGAAAUUAAGGAUGUUUCUCUUACAAGGGACACAUCCUUACAUGUUCAAAUUUGAACAUGUAACUUCCAAGUGGUUAAUGGAAGUUACUUGUUCAAAAUUCGAACAUAUAACUGUCAUAUUGUUGCCUAUAUAGAGGCAUGAACGCAUCACAAAUUCAUACAUUCCAAGACAUACUUAAAGUCUUAUCAUAUUAUGAUCUUGCAGUUUUGCAUGUAGCCACCAGCCUAAGGGCAGUGUAAAACGAUCCCAAAAACCAUCAAUAAUAACAAUGGAUAUAGUUCCUAAAUAAACUGAUGAAAUUUAAGGAUGAUUGGAUGAAACAGCUAUGAUAAAAUGAACUAUCUCGAACCGAGCGAAUGGCACUGACUCAUGAAUAAGUGUGGAUUCCAAAUAUCUUCAUAUCUUCAUAGAUAUUCAUUUCCGUGUUAAUUCGAGGACUUCUAGAAAUUUAGUUAGUUAUUCUAUGAAAUAGAUAUACUAAUAAUAAUAAAACAAAAACGACGGGUGUUACACAAAUUCACAAGUAAAACUGUACUACUUGGAAACUGUGAACAGUAUAGAUUGAAGAUCAUACGAUUGCUAUUUUCAUUGAGUUUCAUGCAUAAAACUUUAUCGAUUAUUAAAUUAGACAUCUUUAUCUUUCUAUCCAUAUGUUUAUUGUUCAAAAACUUAUUGUAUAUUAAUUGUUUUGAUUUUUAAAAAUUGAAACACUGGUGCUGGAAAAUUCUGAUUUUCAGUAGCGAUUCUCAAUUCUAUAAUUUAUUUCAUAACUCCAAAUACUUCUGAAAAUUCUGGGAAUUUUUAUUACUGUACACUUAUAUGUCUAGUUUCUGUCUUUUUAAUUUCGUAAUUUUUGGCUUUAUAUAAAAAUCAUAGAGUUAGACUGCGCAAUCCCAGAAACUGUUUUCCAGAAUUGCGAGGGCUGAUAUUUAGGGCAGUUUGGGAUAGUUUUUCAUCAGUAAAUGUCUUAUAAAUCUUUAAUUCUGACUCCUAUUGUUUCCUCUAAUUGUCAAAACUAGAAUCACUAUUUUUGGACAUGUGUAACUAAAGUUAUAAAUUUUUCAAGCAACAGUCCUCUGUUUAUAUCGUUAUUGGACAGUUUGGAUAAUUUUGUGGAAAAAUAAGUUUUCAGGGGAUGUUUUUAAACUCUAAUUGAUUAUGUAAAAAUUUAAAUUGAAUGCCAAUAUGUUGACAAUAGUGUUUUGUGAUAUUUGUGAUAUUUCCGACGUACUUAUAGCUUGUUAGAAAUCAGCUCCUAUAUAAUGGUCUAGUAUAGUUUAGUGAAUUGAUGUGCUUAAGUAAGAGUGCAUGGUUUAAGGAUUUUUGGAUUUUCCUAUCUAGGUCAGAAUUGAAUAAGAUAUUGAUAGUACUUUUUUCUUAACAAUCAUAGGCCAAAAGUGAGCUCGUUUGAUUUGGGUUAUUGUUGAUUGCUUUGUAUCAUGGUAAGUAAAUUCAUGCAUAAUAUUUAUUAAAGUAUACACGUAAAUAUUUAUUAAUAGAAUAAUGUUGUCCAAAUGGAUUGGCAAGUUAUGGUUUUGAAGUUAUUUUAAAAUGUUUUCUUAAAUUUGUUUUAAAAAUAACUUCAAAAUACCUGCUUCUCUAUAAAAUGUUUUCCUUAAAAAUAUUUGUAAAGCUUUGCCAAUUCAAUGUCUUGUAAGCGUUUUAUCGAAAUAUUAUGGAAUGAUUGAUAUUGGAAAUCUGAAAACUGUUUUUAAGGUUUUGGCUCAUUGUCCGUAGUUAUCGUUACUAAUAUUACUAAAUAGCUAGUUGUAUUGUGCGCACCUAUUGACGAUUAUUGCAGGGUAAAGUACCCUGGUAGAACUAUAAGUUGGGUCACCGAGAUUAUAGGUGACAUAUUGAACUAUUGACCAGGUCACCGGGGGUAUAAGUGACACUAUGUGAUAUGAGUAAAUUGAAUGAAAGAAAAGUUUUAUUGAUAAAAGAUUUCUUACACGAUUAUUUAUUGAAAAUGAUUAUUAUGCUAUGACUUAAUUGAUUAUGAGUUUUACCGCACACAUAUGAUUACAAAAUGAUUUUUGUUUCCUAACUUGUGGUACUACAUAAUAAUGAUUAUAUACUUUUUUCCUUAUUGGUAACCUUAUGCAUGAGUUCGCUUACCGAUUGACGGCUCACCCCUCGUCUCCAACAUUUUAUAGAUUGAUUUUAGUGAUGUGCGCUUUUGGUCUAGCAAAGAGGAUUUAGCUGAAAAACUUUGGCAUUUUCUAGAUGAAUUAAUUGUAGCUAGUUUGAUUAUUGCUUAGAGCUAGAUUUUAUUUUGGAGGAUUUUUGAGUUAUUUUUUAUUUUAGAGACUAUGUUUUGUCAAUGAACAACAUUGACUUUAUUUGAAAAUAGUAAUAAGAUUAAUGUUAUAAGGUUUCAUUUGGGGUGUUACAACUUGUCUCUUAGUAAGUUUAUUUUUGUUAGCCUAUCCAGUAAGGUUUAUUAUCGACUGACAUCAUUUUCAAUGAAAUCAUCUUAUGUUGUUAAGUUUUGCAUAAAUAAAUAUUUCAGUAGGGUCAAAAGAGCAAGAGUUUACCUAUAAAAAAAAAGUCAAAAUUAGUUUAACCACCCCAGUGCGAAUUUCUGACCACGUCUUGCUUUGUAUGAUUUAACUCUAUUAUUAAUUAGUACUAAAAUAUCGAUGAAAAAAAUGGACAUGAAUUUUGAUCUCGUGUUGCUUUGUUUUGGUUGAGUGGCCAAUUUUAACUUCAUGUUAAACUUUCUCAAUUAUUAGUUGAAUUAUUUGGAUUUGAAAACUUAAAACCACCAUUUUAAUUUGUUUAGUAAUGACUAUGUUGAACUUCAACAUUUGUUUUCAAGAAAAAAAUUGAUCAAACUAUGAUGCUCUUGUUUCUAUUAUUAUGGAAUCUCUUUUUCAAUCGUCAAAGUUUGAAUUAUAUUAUGCUGCCUCUGUAUUUCCGCAGAAACAGAAUCAGUUGGUGAUCCUUCAAAACAAGAAAAACCAAAAAAAGAUGUAGUGCGUGAUAAGAUAAUGAGACAGAUGGCUCAUGUUGACAUUAAUACUCAAGUUGGAAGUUGCAUGCCCCUUGCUUGUAUGCGGACUGGGACCAUCAUCCACAAAAUUGAGGUAUACCCGGCUGAAGGUGGCAAGCUAGUUCGAGCCGCUGCGACGUCAGCCAAGAUUUUGAAGAAGACCCACUUCAAGGUACUGCUUAGUAAGGCUAACUUCUGGAAAUGAGAAACUGAUUGACGCUAGAUGUCGAGCCCACCAUUGGUACAGUGUCUAACCCCAGCCAUGGAGCUACGAAGCUUAGGAAGGCUGGUCAGAGCCGUUGGUUGGGUCGAAGGCCUGUGGUUGGAGGAGUAGCCAUGAAUCCAGUUGAUCAUCCUCAUGGUGGAGGUGAGGGACGAAGCAAAAGUAGCCGUAACCAUGGAAGGUGUUCACUUACGCCUUGGGGCAAGCCUUGUAAUUCUGGGUAUAAAACUGCAUUUCCUAAGGGAAAAAAAAAAAGAAAAAGAAAUUACCCGUCUGAUAAUAUUUUCCUUCUUUGCUAUUUAGCCUUUUUAAUAAUGUUACAUUGUUUGUCAUAUAUUUGAGGUUAGUUUUAGACCAAUUUUUAACUGAUCCAUAAUGAAACUGAAGUUUAAUUUUCUAUUGAACUUUUCCUGGUUUUACUCUUCUGUCAUUUCAAUUUAGCAAUGAUUUAAGAUGUUGAGUUCUGUGCUUGGAACAUGUAAAUGGGAAAGAGAGAUAUAAUGGGGUAGAAUAUAGAUUUUGUGUUUUGGUUUCUCAUGUUUAGAGAUAUUCUGUUCUUUUUCAUUUGUUCAAUUUGGUUAGUGGUGAUUUCUUAAAGAGUCGAUGCACGUGUGUAUAUAUACUUUUCUUUUGGCCUUGAUUCUGUUUCUUGGGGAGUUUAUGCAGUUUCUUUUUUUAUGCUUCGUAUGCCACAUGAAAGAUGAAAGCAUUUUGUGUAUUUAGAAUUGACUUGCAUCAUAGUAACUUUGAAUCACUGUUAACAUUUGUAUAAUAGCAGUCUGAGAUCUCCUUGAAGGAUUCAAAAGCAUUUUAUUUGAUGGUCUAGACCUAAAAUCAACUCCUUUAUAUAGAUAGGUUGGUCUUCUUCAAAGCAAUUCCUAUUUUAAGUAAUCAAAAUUUUGAUUUGGAAGUGUGUUUUAACACUACCAAAAGUUCUUUAAAUACUAAAAAUGUGUUUGGGAGUGAGGUGAUGUGGCUUUUAAGCUACAAUUACUGCAAAGUAAAAGUCAGUGAGUAUAAAUAAGAAAAAAUGACUGUUGAGUUGCCAAAGCCCAACUGCCGCACAUCACUUCCAAAUGCACCGUAAAAUGAUUUUGAGUCUUCUAUAUUAUUGAAACAAAAUACAUGAAAGCACUUUUGGCUACAGAAGUACACUUGGGGUUCUUUAUAAAAUUCUUCGACAGCAAUUUUUCCCCCUUUUUGCUCAUGGCGGUUUUUCUGGUUGUUCUUUUAAGAAAACACUUAAAGGUUCUUUUUAUAGAUUUCUGAAAGUACUUCCAACAUAAGCAUUUUUCAGAAAUUUUUUCUGAAAUUAAUUUUAUUUACUUAUCGACUUUUCAACUCCUGUGGUUGUUUAUGAAAUGAAAGGCAAGGGUAAUCACAAGAAAUCUGCAAACUUUAUCAAUUUUUAACUAUACCAAUUUGUUGUUUAUGCUUUACUUUUAUUUUACAGUUUUGUUUAAUGUUUAGAUGAUAGAUAUAUAGACAUUUUAGAUUGGAGAAUUUUGUCAACAAAUUCAUUCCUUUCUUUCACUUUUUCCCUUUUCAGAGGAAAGCAAUUUUGACUAAUUUUAGCCAGAAUCGGACUAUAAUAUUUUGGAGCAAGCCUACUUGAAAUGAUGCUUUUUAAAUUUGAUCUAGUUAAAAUACACUGCCGUUACCCAAAAAAUUCUAGUCUUGGAUUUCAUAGAAUGCCCUUUUAAGAUAUUUUCUCAGCUCUUUGUUGGUCGCAGCAUCUGAGAUUAGCAUUCUCACAUUUCACUUGUUUUGCCUUUGUUUUGAAGGUAACUUAGUUGCAUAGGUGAAUCGAGGUUCAAGAAUGCCGAGAUGGCUACAAGUUUCAAGAAUCAUUUAAAGAGGCGUAAUGACAGCACCAAGAUGGGCUUUGUGAUUAACAAGAUUACUAAUUGAACCAAUCUUGAUGGGACAGAGGACAUGUCAGAACCGUUGCGCACAGGGAGAAGAGUUAGGGGAGCUUUGAGAGUUGAGACCAUCAACAUCCAGAAAGGCUGCUGGUAAUGUUUCAUGUGUUACAAAGUUGCAAGGAAAUUUCAUUUAUAUUUUAACACCUUGUAUUUGAAAAAUUUAAUGUAAUUUUCUCUUUUUUCAAUUUAUUAUUCAGAUCGUAGACUAGUAAACGGUUUAGAUCGCAAGCUUUUAUUAUGCAGUUAUUUUCUCCUUUUCAGGAAGAAGUGGUCAGUUCCAUUCCAGAAUUGGAAUAUGGUAAUUAGGUGCAAGCAUACGUUGUAACAAUCAUUUCUUGUUUGUUUGAUUAUGCUUAUCUAUUUAGUUGUUUAUCGUUUGGUUGUGUUAAAUUAUUUGAAUUAGCAUUAUUUGAGAUAAAGCAUAAUUCUUUUAUUUAUUUAUUUAUUUUUUAAAUAAAUUAUUAUAGAAUAUCGUCUUUAUCGUAUAAUGUAUUUUUAUAAAAGUAAGCAUUUUUAUAAAAUUUAAACUCUUCCAAUCUCCUUAUGAUUAAAACCCUUAACCUAAUAAACGUAUAAAAGCAAAGAGUCCUAGGAUUUUCUUUUGUGCACAUUUGGAAGAAUUUUUGAGGUAAUUAUCCUUCUCUAAAACAUAUUCUCUAAUCUUAGGUGUUUAAUGAUGAAUGCAUGCAUUGUUUUUUUAAUCAUGAAUGACUAGCUAGACAUUAUGAGGCAUGAGUACUGUGAUUCUAUUACUGUUUUCCCUUUAUUUUUUAUUCAGGUUUUCACUAAAGUUUUCAUAAAAUUAAACUAGACAUUUUAAGGCUUUCAAUGAUAUAUUUUGUACGAAAAGAUUACCAGUAACCAAUUUGUUGUGAAUUUUCGAAUUCAGAACAGUGGUGCUGGAAAAUUCUGAUUUUCAGCAGCAUGUUUGACUUUGCCCAUUUUUCUGUCUGUCUAAAUGAUCCCUAAAAUUAUGCUGAUUUUUCUAUUAAAUCCUCAUUAUGUCUACUUACUAUAUGUUCACUUUCAUAAUUUUCAUUGAGUAAAAAAAAAAUUAAAAAUCAUUAUGUUGGGCUGCUGCAGUUUUGGAAACUGCUUUCCAGAAUUGCGAUGGCUGACAAUAAAAUUACUUUAGGCUAUUAAAAGGCUUUAGAAUGGCCUAUAAAAAUUAUAUUCAUAUAAUUUAUGAAUUCCUUAUGAUUUAAAGUUUAUUUGACUAAUUUUGAUAGUUAACAUUAAGUUAUGAAUUUUUCAAGUGCAAAACAUAAACCUGAAUGUUUCUGGACAGGUUUGCUGGUCUCUUAAUAUAAAUUCGUUUAAAAUAGUGUCAUAUCUUCAAAAAUUCUAGGAAUUUGAAGCUUUGUUUCUUGAUGCAUCUACUGUUUUAAAAUCAAGUGGUCUAAUUUUUAAGAGUUCUAUUAAAUAUUUUACAAAUUUUCCAGUUCAGCAACCUCUGUUUUUAUCACUGUUGGACAGUCUGGAUAUGCAUGUAAAAUUCUUUUUGCAAUAUGUUUGACUUUUAUUCAUUCUUUUGAAUUUUUAUUUGAAAUGUUAUCCAUGUUUAUGGUUUAUUUUCUUUGAUUUUACAAUUUUCCAACAUUUGAUUAGCUUGGUAAAAAUCGGCUCAGACUAGCUUUAAUGGUUUAGUGCUUAUGACUAGGCUUGAUUAUGUUAGAUUUAUAUCAAGAUCAGAAUGAGUAAUAGUAUUGAUAAGAAUGUGUCUUGAUAUUUUAGGACGAGAUUGAGCUCGAGGCUAAGGUUACUAUUCUUUAUUGUUGAGGAUUGAGAUAAGUAGAUUCAUGCAUGGUAUAUGUAUUUCACUAUUAAAUUAUUUUUAAUUCGAGGUAUCUAUUAUGUUAAAUGAAAAGUAUUUGAAACUAAUUUGUUUUAGCCUAUUACAAUAUUUUGUUAAAAUAAAAUCGUUCUUUAAAUUAUUUAUAAUAAACCUUUUAUUUAUUAAAAACUUGUUUUAUAAAUUGUCUUAAAAAAACUUUUAUUAAAUUGUUUUAAGUCAAAUACUUUGAAAUAAUUAUCAAUUAUUUAAAUGAUUAAAAGUUCAAGGAUGAUUUUAAAUGUUUUUGCUCAUUGUCUGUAAUGAUGCUAUGUUAUGUUAUAUGUUGUGGAAGGCUAGUUGGAAUAUGUGUACAUAUGAUGUUAAUGUUAAUGAUUCUCGUGGGGUACAGUACUCUAAAUGAUGUCAUACGGAUGGGUCACUGGGUCUACAAGUGAUACUAUGUGGAAUGAGCUAAGUAUGUUUUAUGUAUUUAAAAAGCUAAUUAUGUUUUACAUGUUUGAAAUGCUAUUAUUAUGUUUAAAGGAUUUAAAUGACUUUCUGAUGUUUUGAUUUAUUUUUUAUAAAUGAUUAUUUACAAAAGUAAUUUCCCUUAUUAUUAUUAUGCAUAUCUAAGAAAUUCAAACAAUUAUAAUUUAAUGGUUUUUAGUAUUGUGCAUGAAUUUACUUACCGAGUUGACGGCUCACCCCUUGUUAUCAUAUUUUUGUAGAUAGAGUUAGAUGAUGUGAGCUCAUGAUCUUAGGAGGAAGAAUGAGAGCUCGUUUAUUUUUGGGGAUUAAUGUUACAUUAAUAAUUUAGCUUCCUUUGGCAUGAUAUUUAUUUGAGAAUUUGUUAUUUCAUUACUUAUUAUCUUUUGGAAGAGGAGCAUUUACUGUUGGAUAUUAAUUUGAUGAUUUUAGAUACGAGAGUGAUGAAAUACAGUUUCACUUCAAUUUCACUUUAGUAUCUUAUUAGUGGAAUUGGGGUGUUACAUACGUGCCCGGUCAAUGAACUUGAACUUUAAAUAGUUUUUUCAACUCAUUGAUUUUUGGAACUCAUAUUGGUGCAAGGAAAUCAAAAGAAAUUUAUGAUUAGUCAAAUUCUGAUAGUUGCUAUAUAUUAUACAUUCUAAAGUUUCUUGAGUUUGUUUUCAGAUGAAAAUAUGAUCAAUUCAUUUUGUUUUUGAAGUGUAGGAAAAUAGGCUGGGAUAUUAAUGCAUAGGCAAAAACUUUUUGAGUGGCUUUCCAGCGGAUAAUUAUCGGAAACAUGACUGGAUUUUUUGACUUCCGUAAAUCUUGCAUUUUAACCUGGCAAAUUUAACAAAAGUUCAAUACAACUUUGUUAGUGCCUUGUGUUCCAGAAGCUAGAAAGAUGUGUAGAUUCCAUAUAAGCGGGCUUGUAAUUACUCUAGUAAGAAUCCAAUUAUUUGCCUUUGCACCUUCAUUUUAUUUGUGGAUCCUUGCAUGUUUCUGAAUUUGAUCAAUCCAAAAGGAAUUGCUCUGAAGAAUAGCAGUAACUAGCCUAUGUCUUAGUGCAUGGACCUGCAAACCUGAGCUGACAAAGCUGAAACUAUUAGUUUGAGGUGACAAAUCCAUGAUCGUCACCUGUUAACUUCUGCUAGUUGCUUUCGUGAAACACUUUUAAGAAAUAAGCAAUUUGUUGUUAGUCGCCGUAUCUGAUGUGCUUUCUUUUAUAGUUUGUAGAAUCAACUGUAUUAUAUGUUGUCAGUUGCAGUAUCUGAGGUGUCUUUUGCAAUUUACUUGACCUUUAUUUGUUUGCUAGUGAGUUAAGAAUACCAACAUUGGCCAGAGAUUUGGAGAAACAUCCGAAGACGCUUAACAAACUUGGAGAUGCACUUGCUUCCAAGCUUCAUUCAUCACAAUGCGAAUCCGGUGAGUACUUAUGUCUUCAAUUAUGUAGAGUGUUUGAAAUUUUGAUGCAGCGAGAUGGUUUGUUGAUGCAAAACUUUAUACUGUUAAGGACUUACCCUGCAGGCUUUUUGCAUGUUGUAUCAACUCCAAAAUCCAACGAGAACUACAGCACCAAAGCCCAGUUUUCACUGAUUCAAUCAGCUGAAAUCAUGAGGGAAAUAACAGUAUAGCACCAUCAAGCUGGACUUAGAGAAUAAUCAGAUCAGUCAUCCAUUUCAUGAACUGUUAAUUUCAUGAUGGAGGCUUAGUGGAGCUGAAGAGGAAACAAGGAUGUGUAGGGAUCAACAAACAACAGUGAGAAGCACGAUUGGAGCUCUGAUUACAAAUAGACAAUUUAAAAAUAUGUGCUGGUAAGUGGAAAUUAAAGAAAUUUGUGAGCUCAUUCAAGUUUCGGUAUUUUCUUUUUGGAUAACGUUGAUACCAAGUUUGGCAAAUCUGUGUUUUCUGCGUUUAAUCUGUGUUUUGGUUAAAGUAGAUGCUCUGAUUAAUACUUGUUUGUUUUCAUAAAACAGGACAAAAAGAGAUCACCAAUCUUGAUUGAGAAUUCAUUUAAGUAAAAUUUCAAAAAUUGCCAAACACAGUAUAAACUAGGAUGCACUUGCUUAAGAUUCAUUUUCAGACGGAAGUUUGUACCUCCAGAUCAUAAAAUCAUGUUUAUGUUGUAUCUUUAUUCAGCAAUUGAAAGAUUCCAAGUUUGCUGAAACCAUAUUAUUUCUUUCCCAGGCGCUUUCCUGAAGGUAUCGACAUCUAUUUCGAAAAUGUUGGGGAUAAGUUGCUUGAUGCAGUGCUACAAAACUAUGAAGGAUUUCUUGUCGGUGAUUACUACCACCUGGAUAAAAAAUUCAUGGAACUGGUCAUGCCGGCAAUAAAAGAAGGAAAGGUGGUA